Molecule: ribosomal RNA, 585 nt
Filed under: Staphylococcus sp. sed212
Lineage: Bacteria; Bacillati; Bacillota; Bacilli; Caryophanales; Staphylococcaceae
Description: bacterial SSU rRNA
Rfam family: Bacterial small subunit ribosomal RNA
Source: RNAcentral
CUCCUUUGAAGUUAGCGGCGGACGGGUGAGUAACACGUGGGUAACCUACCUAUAAGACUGGAAUAACUUCGGGAAACCGGAGCUAAUGCCGGAUAACAUUUGGAACCGCAUGGUUCUAAAGUAAAAGAUGGUUUUGCUAUCACUUAUAGAUGGACCCGCGCCGUAUUAGCUAGUUGGUAAGGUAACGGCUUACCAAGGCAACGAUACGUAGCCGACCUGAGAGGGUGAUCGGCCACACUGGAACUGAGACACGGUCCAGACUCCUACGGGAGGCAGCAGUAGGGAAUCUUCCGCAAUGGACGAAAGUCUGACGGAGCAACGCCGCGUGAGUGAUGAAGGUUUUCGGAUCGUAAAACUCUGUUAUUAGGGAAGAACAAAUGUGUAAGUAACUGUGCACAUCUUGACGGUACCUAAUCAGAAAGCCACGGCUAACUACGUGCCAGCAGCCGCGGUAAUACGUAGGUGGCAAGCGUUAUCCGGAAUUAUUGGGCGUAAAGCGCGCGUAGGCGGUUUCUUAAGUCUGAUGUGAAAGCCCACGGCUCAACCGUGGAGGGUCAUUGGAAACUGGGAAACUUGAGUACAGAA